AACGAAUUAACAACUGUCAUAGUCCUGACUUCGUACAGUCAUUUUCUAAUGUAGAACAUGAUGGAUUAAACCUGGUUUUACAACUAGCUAAACAUCUCACUUGCAAUAGACACUUCAUUGAUAUAAUUCAAGAAAAAAUGGCAGCAGUAGUUUGUUAGUUUUUAAAAUACAUACACAAGAAUCCCAUAGAAUAUCAGUACAACACUCAUCUAAGUAAACAGGCAGACACACAACAUCUAUUAGCACAUAGAUUGUCCAGAUUGCCACAUAUUUAACAGGCACCAAACUUUGAAAAAUGCAAGGUGAAAUCUAUUAGAUUUGCAUGUGCAAAAGACACCUUCCUCUUUGCCUAUCUAGACCACAUGUAAGACUACAGCAUCCAAAAUAGUGAAUCUUAACACUGCAGCAACC
Molecule: long non-coding RNA, 411 nt
Filed under: Mytilus galloprovincialis (Mediterranean mussel)
Lineage: Eukaryota; Metazoa; Mollusca; Bivalvia; Mytilida; Mytilidae
Source: RNAcentral